RNAcentral lists this ribosomal RNA (468 nucleotides) under uncultured bacterium. RNAcentral describes it as "partial 16S ribosomal RNA". It matches the Rfam family "Bacterial small subunit ribosomal RNA", at positions 28 to 507 of the family's 1533-position model. The record is from RNAcentral.
GAUGAACGCUGGCGGCGUGCUUAACACAUGCAAGUCGAACGGUGAAGGCGGAGCUUGCUCUGCUGGAUCAGUGGCGAACGGGUGAGUAACACGUGAGCAAUCUGCCCCUGAGUCUGGGAUAAGCGCUGGAAACGGCGUCUAAUACUGGAUACGAGCUGCGGAGGCAUCUUCAGCAGCUGGAAAGAACUUCGGUCAGGGAUGAGCUCGCGGCCUAUCAGCUUGUUGGUGAGGUAACGGCCCACCAAGGCGUCGACGGGUAGCCGGCCUGAGAGGGUGACCGGCCACACUGGGACUGCGACACGGCCCAGACUGCUACGGGAGGCAGCAGUGGGGAAUAUUGCACAAUGGGCGAAAGCCUGAUGCAGCAACGCCGCGUGAGGGACGACGGCCUGCGGGUUGUAAACCUCUUUUGGCAGGGAAGAAGCGAAAGUGACGGUACCUGCAGAAAAAGCGCCGGCUAACUACGUG